AGUGAACGCUGGCGGUAGGCCUAGCACAUGCAAGUCGAACGGCAGCACAGUAAGAGCUUGCUCUUACGGGUGGCGAGUGGUGGCCGGGUGAGGAAUACAUCGGUAUCUACUUUUUCGUGGGGGAUAACGUAGGGAAACUCACGCUAAUACCGCAUACGAUCUACGGGUGAAAGCAGGGGAUCUUCGGACCUUGCGCGAUAGAUUGAGCCGAUGUCGGAUUAGCUAGGUGGCGGGGUAAAGGCCCACCAAGGCGAGGAUCCGUAGCUGGUCUGAGAGGAAGAUCAGCCACACUGGAACUGAGACACGGUCCAGACUCCUACGGGAGGCAGCAGUGGGGAAUAUUGGACAAUGGGGGCGAGCCUGAUCCAGCCAUACCGCGUGAGUGAAGAAGGCCUUCGGGUUGUAAAGCCCUUUUGUUGGGAAAGAAAAGCAGCAGGUUAAUACCCCGCUGUUCUGACGGUACCCAAAGAAUAAGCACCGGCUAACUUCGUG
This 492-nucleotide ribosomal RNA is filed under the name uncultured bacterium. RNAcentral's name for it is "partial 16S ribosomal RNA". It matches the Rfam family "Bacterial small subunit ribosomal RNA", at positions 29 to 507 of the family's 1533-position model. The record is from RNAcentral.